GAUCGCAAGACCUAGCGCUUGAAGAGGGGCCCGCGCCUGAUUAGCUAGUUGGUGGGGUAAUGGCUCACCAAGGCAACGAUCAGUAUCCGGCCUGAGAGGGCGGACGGACACACUGGGACUGAGACACGGCCCAGACUCCUACGGGAGGCAGCAGUGGGGAAUUGUUCGCAAUGGGCGCAAGCCUGACGACGCAACGCCGCGUGGAGGAUGAAGAUUUUCGGAUCGUAAACUCCUUUCGAUCGAGACGAACGGGCUUCGGGCUAAUACCCUGAGGCAGUGACGGUACCGAGAGAAGAAGCCCCGGCUAACUCCGUGCCAGCAGCCGCGGUAAUACGGGGGGGGCAAGCGUUGUUCGGAAUUACUGGGCGUAAAGGGCUCGUAGGCGGCCAACUAAGUCAUACGUGAAAUCCCUCGGCUUAACCGGGGAACUGCGUCUGAUACUGGAUGGCUUGAGUUCGGGAGAGGGAUGCGGAAUUCCAGGUGUAGCGGUGAAAUGCGUAGAUAUCUGGAGGAACACCGGUGGCGAAGGCGGCAUCCUGGACCGAUACUGACGCUGAGGAGCGAAAGCCAGGGGAGCAAACGGGAUUAGAU
This 591-nucleotide ribosomal RNA is filed under the name uncultured bacterium. RNAcentral describes it as "bacterial SSU rRNA". It matches the Rfam family "Bacterial small subunit ribosomal RNA", at positions 198 to 783 of the family's 1533-position model. The record is from RNAcentral.